Molecule: RNA transcript, 2323 nt
Organism: Chenopodium quinoa (quinoa)
Lineage: Eukaryota; Viridiplantae; Streptophyta; Magnoliopsida; Caryophyllales; Amaranthaceae
Exons: 6
Source: RefSeq, a predicted model, not a curated record
UGUGCUCAACUCCUUACCUCUCAUUAGUCAUUUACUAAGUAUAACCUUGGGAAAGCUUAUGGUUAUCAACGCUCAAAACUUUCAUUUGGGGUUCAAGUUCAAUCAUCACCUGCAUUCCAAAAAUCAGCACUUUGCCGACGCCAUUGAAGUUUGCACCGCCACAAUUCGUUUAUUCCCUUUUAACUUUCUGGUUUGGAGUUGCCAAAUGAUAGGAGGAUCUUCGUUAUCUUUGAAAGGCGUGUUGCAUUCUAGUCAGUUUGCAAGCAAUUCAUCAAGAGAGCUUACAUGGAAAAAUUCCAGGUGCAAAAUUAAUAGGGUCGGUACUAGAAAUUCUAGGAUAUAUGCUUCAAUGCAUAGAGAAAUGAAGGAUAUUCGGGUCUUUGUGGUCUCAGACUUGCAUACUGAUUAUGCAGAGAACAUGGCGUGGGUAAAGUGCAUUUCUUCAUCAAGCCACCAGGAUGAUAUUCUUCUUGUUGCGGGUGAUGUGGCUGAGACGUACGAUAGGUUCACCUUGACUAUGUCUAUAUUGACAAAUAAAUUCAAGCAUGUUUUCUAUGUGCCUGGAAAUCAUGAUCUUUGGUGUCGCAAAGAUAAAAAAGACUUUGUUGAUUCACUUGACAAGCUCAAUGCGCUGCUUCGCGCAUGUGGUGAACUUGGAGUGGAAUCAAGGCCUUUGAUCGUAGGUGACUUGGGAAUCAUACCCCUCUUCUCAUGGCAUCAUGAGAGUUUCGAUACAGAGCAGGAUAUAACUGGGGUGAGAGUUCCUUGAAGAUGGUAAAUCAUUCUUAACCUUGUGAACAUUGCUGAAUAUUUUUGCUCUGAUUAUUAAUAGCUUUGGUAAUGUACAAUGUAUGUUACUGUUGGAUUCUGAUACCAAUUUAGUGCUCUAUUUAUUAGGCUAGCUAGGAUAGAUAAUCUUGUGCAUUCCUGUAUGAUGAUAAACCAUCCUAGUGAGACCAACAAGCAAGUAGUUAUCCUCAGUGAUCAUUUGCUCCUAUUUUAUUGGAAAAUCACUUUUAUUUACUCCAUAUUGGAAGAACCUCAUUUAGCUGGAUCUAUUAGAAAGAGAUUAACCUUUAUAUUUGUGGUUUCAACAAAUAUUUCCCUUUGGUUGUGUUUGUGCAUUGAUAAAUAGUUUUAUAGGCAUCGGUAUUUUUCUUUCUCCUUCUCCUCAUGGUUGAUGAUGUAAAUUUCUUUCACAAAUUAAAUUUCCUGAUUUAGGCUUGUGUGAAAAGUCUAAUCAUGCUAGUUCUGCGGACAUCUUUUUUAGGUAUGUAAAGAUUUUCAUGCGUGCAGAUGGCCUGCUGAGCUCUGUGAUAGGGAUGAUUCUCUUGCUUGCCAUUUUGAUGCAAUGAAUGAGAAACAUGCCCAUGCAAUAAAAGAGAUCCAGAGAAAAUGUGAAAAAGUAAUUACAUUUUCCCACUAUGUUCCUAGGCUAGACCUAUGUCCAGAGAAAAGAAUGCUUUACUAUCCAAACCUUCCUAAAAUCAUCGGUUCCAACUUUCUUGAGGCUCGAAUCAGAUCUAUACACGGUGCUGAGGGGAGCAAAGCUGCAUGUCAUGUGUUUGGCCACACCCAUUUUGGCUGGGAUGCUACUCUUGAUGGGAUCAGGUAUGUGCAGGCACCAUUGGCUUAUCCUAGAGAGCAGAAAAGAAAUAUGAAUGGGGGUCUUGGUUGGUUACCAUUGAAUUUGUAUUCUGAUGGAAGAUUCACUGAGAGACAGCAUUUUUACUGGUCAGAUUACUAUUCUGUCAAUCCAAGAACACCAGAUAACAUGGAACUUGCGCCUUGGGUUGCUGCGCUUUACAAAAGAUGAGUGCUGUAAGGUAGCUACCCGUUUCACCAUUCCAUGAUCGAAUGCACAGGCUAUAGGAAUUUCUUAAUGACCAUAGAAAACUUCCGAGUUUGACCGUACAUAGUGGGUUGAAAGUUGUAAGUAGUUAGACACACAAUUAUUUGUACAGUGUUUUCAAUUGAAUCAAACUUGUGCUAUGCUUAGUUGUUUAGUACCAUGUAAAUGUAAUACAGUAAUACUAUACCUUAUUCUUUGAUUUUUUCUUGGAAAUAACUUCUUGUUCAUGAUUGAGUCAUGUCCGGUGAGAAUUGUUAAUCCUAAUAAAAAACCAAAUAUUUUUUUUUUCCCAUUUUAUGCAUUAUGAUUUAUGACUUUAUGAGUGAUUUUUACGGCAUUAAUAUUUUGUUUAAAGAGCAAUUUUAUCUACAGUUUAUAAAUACUUCCUGACUAUUUUUUUUAUACAGAGUACAUUGUAUUGGGUAAUAUCGGAUUGUUUAGAGUGAGGUACCCAAAAUAAAACAACUAUAG